Molecule: ribosomal RNA, 397 nt
Filed under: uncultured bacterium
Lineage: Bacteria
Description: partial 16S ribosomal RNA
Rfam family: Bacterial small subunit ribosomal RNA
Source: RNAcentral
CCUACGGGUGGCUGCAGUGAGGAAUAUUGGUCAAUGGACGGGAGUCUGAACCAGCCAAGCAGCGUGAGGGAUGACUGUCCAGUGGAUCGUAAACCUCUUUUGUCUGGGAAUAAAGUGUUGGACGCGUGGGAGGUUGUGUGUACCUGAAGAAAAAGGAUCGGCUAACUCCGUGCCAGCAGCCGCGGUAAUACGGAGGAUCCGAGCGUUAUCCGGAGUUAUUGGGUUUAAAGGGUGCGCAGGUGGAUUGUUAAGUCAGUGGUGAAAGUUCGGGGUUCAACCCUGAAAUUGCCGUUGAAACUGGCAGUCUCGAGUAGGGGAGAGGUGGGCGGAAUGCGUGGUGUAGCGGUGAAAUGCAUAGAUAUCGCGCAGAACUCCGAUUGCGAAGGCAGCAUGCUGG